Molecule: long non-coding RNA, 634 nt
Organism: Amphimedon queenslandica
Lineage: Eukaryota; Metazoa; Porifera; Demospongiae; Haplosclerida; Niphatidae
Exons: 4
Source: RefSeq, a predicted model, not a curated record
GUGAAACUUGUGGAAUCCAUUAUUUUAUAAUUUGGUGAAAUUUAUCACAUCUUGCUUGAAAUAAAUUUGCUGUUCAUUGACAUUAUUACUUAAUGGCACUUCCUUUUUGUCACAGUCACAUGCAAUUCACCACAACACUUCUCACUUUUCCAAAUACUCUUGUCUCCUCUCUCUCUCUCUCUCUCAUUACAGAUGCUCUCAUUAGCUCUUGUUGUUCACAGAGACUCGUGUCAGGAAUGACACAUGAGUGAUAUGCAUUGGGUUGGAUUUGGUGACUGUUAUUUUGGAGUGUGGCGUGAAGAGUCUUGGGGACAUUAAAUCACUGAGAGUUCUCAUGCAAGACGGACUCUCCCAUCACUUACUUACUGUAAAUGAGCAACUUUACGAAUUGCUUCAGAACGAAUCUGCUGAUGUUUAUGGUCGCUCUUUGACAAAGUGCUUUCUUCUUUUUGAUUCAAAUUGUCAUCAUCUCAAACUACAGCUGGAGUGGUUCCUUAAUAAGCUAAUGCACACAAUACAAUUAGAUCAGUCAAGACUUCAAGCAGGCAGACAAGAGCUAACAUUAGAAUGUCUCAAUUAAUGUCUUAAUGUCUUAAUUAAUGUCUUAAGAAAGAGUACAUUUAUGUACACGAGA